Non-coding RNA from Rhizoctonia solani, 1457 nucleotides. Lineage: Eukaryota; Fungi; Basidiomycota; Agaricomycetes; Cantharellales; Ceratobasidiaceae. The record is from Rfam.
UAAAGUAAGAGUUUAAUUUUUGCUCCGACUGAACGUUUUCCAGUGGUUUCUUAAGGCAUGCAAAUCGUUAUUAAUUUCGGUUAAUAAGGUGUACGGGUGAGUAAUAAUAAAUAAGAUACCCUACAGACUUCGGUAAUAGAGGAUAGUUCUGUUUUUUUUUGUAAAGAAAUUAAGAAUAAAGGGACUUCAUUUAUGUUAUCUAAAAUUUUUUUAAAAUAUUUAGAAAUAUAAUUCCUACUGUAGGAUUCUAUUUAUCUUGAAUAGGUAGUUGAUAGGGUAAUGGCCUACCAAGCCUACGAUCAAUAGCCAGCUUGAAAGAGGGAUUGGCCACAUUGGGUCUGAAAUUUACCCAAGUAGUGCAUAACUACCAGCAGCCGAGAAUAUUUGUCAAUGCUCGCAAGAGUGAACAAGCCAACUGGAAUCACAACAACUUGUGAUAAAGUAAGGGAGGAUAAUGACGUUACCUUAUUAUUAGUGUCGUCUAAAAUUGGUGCCAGAAGACUCGGUAAUACCAAAUACACAAACGUUAGUCAUCAUAAAUAGGCGUAAAGGGUUUGUAGGCUGCUCAAAAAAAAAUUAUAAAAUAAGAGCUAGAAUCAAAUAGAGGUCAAUAUCAUACCUAGUGAAAGAAUUAAAUCUGUAAAUAUUAGGGGGAAUACUAGAAGCGAAGGCGAUUUUCCAUUUAAUGAUUGACGCUGAGACACGAAGGUUGGGGCAGGAAAUAGGAUUAGAUACCCUAGCACUCCCAACUGUAAACGAUGAAUGGUAGGUGUUAAUUAUAUUAAAAUUAGCACCGAUGUGAACACGUUAACCAUUCCGCCUUGUGAGUAUACUUGCAAAAGUGAAAACAAAAAAAUUAGUCGGCCCCGAAGCAAACGAAGUGAAGCAUGUUGUUUAAUACGAUAAUCCGCGUAAAAUCUUACCAUGGCUUGAAUAUAACUUUUCUAAGAAUAUUUCACGUAAAAAUAUUCAUUUGUUAAAAAUAAUUAACGGAGAAAAGGAAUAAUUACUAUUAUUCAUUUACAGGUGUUGCAUGGCUGUCGUCGGUUCGUAUCGUGAGAUGUUUGGUUAAUUCCGCUAACGAACGCAAUCCCUAUUGUUAAUUUAUACUUAACACAGGCUUACCCUAAAAAAGGGAAGUUGUUUGGGGCUAUGACAAGCCGUUAUGACCCUUAUGCCGUGGGCUAUAGACGUGCCACAAAAACUUUAACAAUAUGAAGCAAUCCAUCGCCAAGUCUCGAGUAAUUUGGGAAAAUUUAGUUGGAGAAUAUGAGGAGCUAAUCAUCAAAAUAAGUUAUAGCCGGAUUGUUGCCUGAAACUCGGCAACAUGAAGAAGGAAUUUCGAGUAAUCGUUGAUCACCAGCGCAACGGUGAAGACAUAAUUCGGGGUUUUUAGUUAAAAGCCCCUUUCAGAUCUAAGGUGCUCUAUCCAAUGGUAGGGGACUUGCAGAUCUGAA